Long non-coding RNA from Sphaeramia orbicularis (orbiculate cardinalfish), 841 nucleotides. RefSeq lists it as uncharacterized. Lineage: Eukaryota; Metazoa; Chordata; Actinopteri; Kurtiformes; Apogonidae. The record is from RefSeq and is a predicted model, not a curated record. The transcript has 4 exons.
GCCCUCCCUCUCAAGUCCAAGUUUUUUGAACAACUUGACCACUACUCCAGCAGACUGUUGGCAUUGGCAAGAUCCAAGAGAGGAACUGCAGGGGACAAAAUCUCUCCCAUCCUACACACGUUUGAUCGGGCCAAAGACAUCAAUCUGAAGAGAGAAUGUCUCCUAAAGGCCCUUAUCAUUGUUCUUGGGGAGGAUACUCGUGAUCUUGUCAAGGAGUUUGUGGACAGUCGGGAAGACGACCUUCAGGUUGAUUUGGAGCAGGUGACCAUGGCGGUAUUUUCCAUUCGACAAGAAGGAUGUGUCGAACUUCCUCCGGAGGACAUUGGUAUCGUUAUCGAAGGCGUAACAGUCUUAAAUGGACUCAGCUCUGUCCCAUCUGCUUGUGCCCUGCUGCUCGGCUUGAUCUACAUUCUCAAUCUUGCCUACCCUAAAAGCCUCCGUUACACUUUCGAGGUUUUCCAGAAAGUUUUUAUGGAGCUAGAUUCUCAGAAAAUGUCCCCAAAAGUUCAUACACUAUUAGGAAAACUGCAAAGUGCAGAUUAAUGGUCAUCUUAAGCCUAUGUACAUAUUUUUGCAUUCAGUGUUAAAAAAUUUUUAUAAAGCUGAAAGUGUUUAAGAAGUUUGAAAAAAGAAGCACUUUGUAAUCCUCCAGAACGUAACAGGACAGAAGUCUCCUGUUUUUUUUUUUUCUCUUCUUUAGAUUGGAUCGUUUAUUGCUGGCACAGGGCAAUCUGAACUGAACUGCAACUCUUGCAUGUGAUUAUAGUCAUGGAGGCUGUACAACUGUAAUGUUCUGUUGUGAGAUAAUUUGACGUUACUGUUACAAAUAAACAAUUUGCAG